Molecule: long non-coding RNA, 663 nt
Filed under: Hordeum vulgare
Lineage: Eukaryota; Viridiplantae; Streptophyta; Magnoliopsida; Poales; Poaceae
Description: long non-coding RNA (HVUL_LNC001797)
Source: RNAcentral
AUAACUAAAACUUGUUUGAUGCAUGUUGGAAGAGGUAUUCUCAACCACUAUGGUUAUCCGACGUUUUUGCAUGUUACAUGAUUCAUUCUAGUAUCUUCAUGCCCAUACAUUCUUUUCUGAAUACUCUACGAUUUUUUUAUUUCAGUAGUAAAAAUACAUCAUGUGAGCUCGUGUGCUAUAGAUCCGGGAACGACGUAUGUACACUACAGUACUAGAAAUUCCUUUUAACUUCAAAAUAUUCUGCAUUAUCAUAGAUUUUUGCGUUUCUAAUUACCAAUAUAUCAAAGAGCACAACACUUUGGCGUUCGAGAACAUCUUUAAUAGAACAUAAUGUUGAAGGAUAAAUUUAGAUAGUACAUAAUACAAGAGAAAUUGUUUCUUAUUACGACUGAUCUGACACCAUGCUAUAGCAUCAUUACACCAUCUUCUCUUCCAAAUAGAUUUACAAGCUGGCACAUAUGGAGACCAAUAACCACACUGAAGCCUCAAUUCUUCUGAACAAGUAUAUUUAUCAAACCUGAAUCAGCAAAAACUGUGGAGUGAUUAAUGCAUGGCAUGACACACGGCUAGAAAAAUGAUAAACUUCUGAGGAGCUUCAGAAAUUGAUUUUGAAAGCGAACAUAGUAGGUGCAAAGAAGUAAUGCAAUAAUGCACCUGUCUCAU